This 255-nucleotide ribosomal RNA is filed under the name uncultured bacterium. RNAcentral's name for it is "partial 16S ribosomal RNA". It matches the Rfam family "Bacterial small subunit ribosomal RNA", at positions 524 to 776 of the family's 1533-position model. The record is from RNAcentral.
UACGUAGGGUGCGAGCGUUAAUCGGAAUUACUGGGCGUAAAGCGUGCGCAGGCGGUUUGUUAAGACAGAUGUGAAAUCCCCGGGCUUAACCUGGGAAUCUGCAUUUGUGACUGCCGAGCUAGAGUGUGGUCAGAGGGGGGUAGAAUUCCACGUGUAGCAGUGAAAUGCGUAGAGAUGUGGAGGAAUACCGAUGGCGAAGGCAGCCCCCUGGGAUAACACUGACGCUCAUGCACGAAAGCGUGGGGAGCAAACAGG